UACCAGCUCUCUGAGUGGUAGGGGUGAUUAUUGGGCUUAGAGCGUCCGUAGCCGGCCUGGCAAGUCCUUCGUUAAAUCCAGCAACUUAAUUGUUGGGCUGCGGGAGAUACUGUUAGGCUAGGGGGCGGGAGAGGCCGACGGUAUUCUCGGGGUAGGGGUGAAAUCUUAUAAUCCCGGGAGGACCACCAGUGGCGAAGGCUGUCGGCUAGCACGCGCCUGACGGUGAGGGACGAAAGCUGGGGGGAGCGAACCGGAUUAGGUACCCGGGUAGUCCCUGCUGUAAACGAUGCGGGCUAGGUGUUGGGGCGGCUACGAGCCGCUUCAGUGCCGCAGCGAAGGCGUUAAGCCCGCCGCCUGGGGAGUACGGCCGCAAGGCUGAAACUUAAAGGAAUUGGCGGGGAGCACCACAAGGCGUGAAGCUUGCGGUUC
This 429-nucleotide ribosomal RNA is filed under the name uncultured archaeon. RNAcentral's name for it is "bacterial SSU rRNA". It matches the Rfam family "Archaeal small subunit ribosomal RNA", at positions 474 to 903 of the family's 1478-position model. The record is from RNAcentral.